RNAcentral lists this ribosomal RNA (715 nucleotides) under uncultured bacterium. RNAcentral's name for it is "bacterial SSU rRNA". It matches the Rfam family "Bacterial small subunit ribosomal RNA", at positions 8 to 694 of the family's 1533-position model. The record is from RNAcentral.
AGAGUUUGAUCCUGGCUCAGAAUCAACGCUGGCGGCGUGCCUCAGACAUGCAAGUCGAACGCGAAAGGCUCCUUCGGGGGCCGAGUAGAGUGGCGCACGGGUGAGUAACACGUAGGUAAUUUGCCUUCGGGUGGGGAAUAACAGCCGGAAACGGCUGCUAAUACCGCAUAAUGCAGCGGCUCGACAUCGAGACAGUUGUUAAAGCGGGGGAUUCCGAAAGGAACCUCGCGCCUGAAAAGAAGCCUGCGGCGGAUUAGCUAGUUGGUAAGGUAAUGGCUUACCAAGGCGACGAUCCGUAACCGGCCUGAGAGGGCGGUCGGUCACACUGACACUGACAUACGGGUCAGACUCCUACGGGAGGCAGCAGUCGGGAAUUUUGGGCAAUGGGCGAAAGCCUGACCCAGCAACGCCGCGUGAAGGAUGAAAUCCCUCGGGAUGUAAACUUCGCAAGAAUGGGAAGAAGGUCAGAGGGUGAUACCCCUUUCUGGCUUGGCGGUACCAUUUGUAAGCUCCGGCUAACUCCGUGCCAGCAGCCGCGGUAAUACGGGGGGAGCAAGCGUUGUUCGGAUUUACUGGGCGUAAAGGGCGCGUAGGCGGUCGUGACAAGUCACUUGUGAAAUCUCCGGGCUUAACUCGGAACGGUCAAGUGAUACUGUCAGACUAGAGUACAGAAAGGGGCAACUGUAUUUCUCGGUGUAGCGGUGAAAUGCGUAGA